UGAGGAACUCAACUCAAACUCCUCUCUCUGGGAAAACGCGGUGCUUGCUCCUCCUGGAGUGGCCCUGGCAGGGUGUUGGAGCCCUUGGUCUGCCCGGUCUGGUCUCUGGGGCCAAGGCUGGGUUUCCCUCAUGUAUGGCAAGAGCUCUACUCGUGCGGUGCUUCUUCUUGGCAUACAGCUCACAGCUAUUUGGCCUACAGCAGCUGUGGAAAUUUAUACCUCCCGGGUGCUGGAGGCUGUUAAUGGGACAGAUGCUCGGUUAAAAUGCACUUUCUCCAGCUUUGCCCCUGUGGGUGAUGCUCUAACAGUGACCUGGAAUUUUCGUCCUCUAGAUGGGGGACCUGAGCAGUUUGUAUUCUACUACCACAUAGAUCCCUUCCAACCCAUGAGUGGGCGGUUUAAGGACCGGGUGUCUUGGGAUGGGAACCCUGAGCGGUAUGAUGCCUCCAUCUUUCUCUGGAAACUGCAGUUCGACGACAAUGGGACAUACACCUGCCAAGUGAAGAACCCACCUGAUGUUGAUGGGGUGAUAGGGGAGAUCCGGCUCAGUGUCGUGCACACUGUACGCUUCUCUGAGAUCCACUUCCUGGCUCUGGCCAUUGGCUCUGCCUGUGCACUGAUGAUCAUAAUAGUAAUUGUAGUGGUCCUCUUCCAGCAUUACCGGAAAAAGCGAUGGGCCGAAAGAGCUCAUAAAGUGGUGGAGAUAAAAUCGUAAGGCUGGGCAGUUCUGGGAAAGUUCUAACACUCUAAUGGCGACUCUUGGUAUUUUGCAAUGGGCUAAAUAGUUGCUGAACAGAUGUUUUUCCCUUUAAGUAAAUCCUAUAUAAAAGAAUUCACAUUUGCAGGACAGAUAAAUUAGGUAUGAACUAGUAACUUUACAAAAGUUUUCUUAAUUUUACAAAAUAUUUCUUUAUGGGAUUUCUUUACUAUGUGGGGGGGUUGAUUUUAUAAAAAUCUGCUAUGUAAAGCUUUUCUAAAAAAUCCCUUAUGUUUAAAGUGAAGCAUACAUUUGUAAAAACCACUGGGCUAGGCAGUCAGCAGGGCCACUAUGAGUCAGGGCUUAGGAAAGUCUGUUGUGCUGAUAGCAGGUGUUCAUUAAAUGUAUUUUAAAAUUGAGAUAAAAUUUACCCACCAUAAAAUUUACCCUUUUCAUGUUCACAAAGUUGUGCAGCAAUCAUCACUAAUUGCAGAACCUUUUUAAACUCCCUCCCCUAAAGAAACCCCAUAUCCCUAGCUAUCACUCCCUAUUAUCCCCUCCUACCAGCCCCUGACAACUACUCAUCUACUUUCUGUCUCUAUGGAUUUGCUUAUUCUGGACAUUUCAUUUAAAUAGAAUCAUACAAUACGUGGUCUUUCAUGCCCAGCUUCUUUCACUUAGCAUAAUGCUUUCAAGGCUCAUCCUUGUUGCAAUAUGUAUUAGUAUUUCUUUCCUUUUUAUGACUGCAUAAUAUUCCAUUGUAUGAAUGUACCACAUAUUGUUUGUCCAUUCAAUUGAUGGGCAUUUAGGUUUUUCCUACUUGUUGGCUAUUGUG
Molecule: small RNA, 1532 nt
Filed under: Pongo abelii (Sumatran orangutan)
Lineage: Eukaryota; Metazoa; Chordata; Mammalia; Primates; Hominidae
Description: retained intron
Source: RNAcentral